GACGAACGCUGGCGGCGUGCUUAACACAUGCAAGUCGAACGGAAAGGCCCUGCUUUUGUGGGGUGCUUGAGUGGCGAACGGGUGAGUAACACGUGAGUAACCUGCCCUUGACUUUGGGAUAACUUCAGGAAACUGGGGCUAAUACCGGAUAGGAGCUCCUGCUGCAUGGUGGGGGUUGGAAAGUUUCGGCGGUUGGGGAUGGACUCGCGGCUUAUCAGCUUGUUGGUGGGGUAGUGGCUUACCAAGGCUUUGACGGGUAGCCGGCCUGAGAGGGUGACCGGCCACAUUGGGACUGAGAUACGGCCCAGACUCCUACGGGAGACAGCAGUGGGAAAUAUUGCACAAUGGGCGGAAGCCUGAUGCAGCAACGCCGCGUGCGGGAUGACGGCCUUCGGGUUAUAAACCGCUUUCGCCUGUGACGAAGCGUGAGUGACGGUAAUGGGUAAAGAAGCACCGGCUAACUACGUG
Molecule: ribosomal RNA, 468 nt
Filed under: uncultured bacterium
Lineage: Bacteria
Description: partial 16S ribosomal RNA
Rfam family: Bacterial small subunit ribosomal RNA
Source: RNAcentral